RNAcentral lists this ribosomal RNA (1379 nucleotides) under uncultured bacterium. Its description in RNAcentral is "bacterial SSU rRNA". It matches the Rfam family "Bacterial small subunit ribosomal RNA". The record is from RNAcentral.
AGAGUUUGAUCCUGGCUCAGGAUGAACGCUGGCGGCGUGCAUAACGCAUGCAAGUUGAGCGGGCACAUACUUUCGGGUAUGUGUCAGCGGCGAACGGGUGAGUAACACGUGGGCAACCUGCCAUCUGGAAGGGGAUAACCUGCGGAAACGUGGGCUAAUACCGUAUAAGCUCUGUUGUUUCAAGGAAGAGCAGAGGAAAGUAGUGAUACGCCGGAUGAGGGGCCUGCGGCCCAUCAGCUAGUUGGUGUAGUAGCGGUGCACCAAGGCGAAGACGGGUAGCUGGUCUGAGAGGAUGAUCAGCCACACUGGGACUGAGACACGGCCCAGACUCCUACGGGAGGCAGCAGCGAGGAAUUUUCCGCAAUGGGCAAAGAUGCCUGACGGAGCAACGCCGCGUGGAGGAAGAAGCGUUUCGGCGUGUAAACUUCUUUUGGACGGGAAGAUGAUGACGGUACCGUUCGAAUAAGCCCCGGCUAACUACGUGCCAGCAGCCGCGGUAACACGUAGGGGGCGAGCGUUGUCCGGAAUUAUUGGGCGUAAAGAGCGCGCAGGCGGCCGAGCAAAGUCGACUGGUGAAAUACCCCCGGCUCAACCGGGGGGUGACUGGCGAUACUUGUGGGCUUUGAGUAGGGGAGAGGGGAGUGGAAUUCCCGGUGUAGUAGUGAAAUGCGUAGAUAUCGGGAGGAACACCAGUGGCGAAGGCGACUCUCUGGCCCCUUUACUGACGCUGAGGCGCGAAGGCUGGGGGAGCGAACGGGAUUAGAUACCCCGGUAGUCCCAGCAGUAAACGAUGGACACUCGGUGUCGGUGGUGUUGACCCCACCGGUGCCCAAGCAAACGCAUUAAGUGUCCCGCCUGGGGAGUACGGUCGCAAGGCUAAAACUCAAAGGAAUUUGACGGGGGCCCGCACAAGCAGCGGAGCGUGUGGUUUAAUUCGAUGCGACGCGAAGAACCUUACCAAGGCUUGACAUACAUAUGUAACGAUGUGGAAACACAUUGCCCUAUCGGGUAACCGGUAGCAUAUGUACAGGUGUUGCAUGGCUGUCGUCAGCUCGUGCCGUGAGGUGUUGGGUUAAGUCCCGCAACGAGCGCAACCCUUAUUGCAAGUUGUAUGUUUCUUGCAAGACUGCCGGAAGAAGUCCGGAGGAAGGUGGGGAUGACGUCAAGUCAGCAUGACCCUUACGUCUUGGGCUACACACACGCUACAAUGGCCGGUACAAAGGGUAGCCAAGGGGUGACCCGGAGCCAAUCCCCGUAAAAGCCGGCCUCAGUUGGAAUUAGAGGCUGAAACCCGCCUCUAUGAACGAGGAGUUGCUAGUAACCGCAGGUCAGCAUUACUGCGGUGAAUAUGUUCCCGGGCCUUGCACUCACCGCCCGUC